This 3105-nucleotide small RNA is filed under the name Pan troglodytes (chimpanzee). RNAcentral describes it as "retained intron". Lineage: Eukaryota; Metazoa; Chordata; Mammalia; Primates; Hominidae. The record is from RNAcentral.
AUUUCUUCUCAGGCUCCAAGAAGGGGAAAAAAAUGAAGAUUUUGAUACUUGGUAUUUUUCUGUUUUUAUGUAGUACCCCAGCCUGGGCGAAAGAAAAGCAUUAUUACAUUGGAAUUAUUGAAACGACUUGGGAUUAUGCCUCUGACCAUGGGGAAAAGAAACUUAUUUCUGUUGACACGGAACAUUCCAAUAUCUAUCUUCAAAAUGGCCCAGAUAGAAUUGGGAGACUAUAUAAGAAGGCCCUUUAUCUUCAGUACACAGAUGAAACCUUUAGGACAACUAUAGAAAAACCGGUCUGGCUUGGGUUUUUAGGCCCUAUUAUCAAAGCUGAAACUGGAGAUAAAGUUUAUGUACACUUAAAAAACCUUGCCUCUAGGCCCUACACCUUUCAUUCACAUGGAAUAACUUACUAUAAGGAACAUGAGGGGGCCAUCUACCCUGAUAACACCACAGAUUUUCAAAGAGCAGAUGACAAAGUAUAUCCAGGAGAGCAGUAUACAUACAUGUUGCUUGCCACUGAAGAACAAAGUCCUGGGGAAGGAGAUGGCAAUUGCGUGACUAGGAUUUACCAUUCCCACAUUGAUGCUCCAAAAGAUAUUGCCUCAGGACUCAUCGGACCUUUAAUAAUCUGUAAAAAAGAUUCUCUAGAUAAAGAAAAAGAAAAACAUAUUGACCGAGAAUUUGUGGUGAUGUUUUCUGUGGUGGAUGAAAAUUUCAGCUGGUACCUAGAAGACAACAUUAAAACCUACUGCUCAGAACCAGAGAAAGUUGACAAAGACAAUGAAGACUUCCAGGAGAGUAACAGAAUGUAUUCUGUGAAUGGAUACACUUUUGGAAGUCUCCCAGGACUCUCCAUGUGUGCUGAAGACAGAGUAAAAUGGUACCUUUUUGGUAUGGGUAAUGAAGUUGAUGUGCACGCAGCUUUCUUUCACGGGCAAGCAUUGACUAACAAGAACUACCGUAUUGAUACAAUCAACCUCUUUCCUGCUACCCUGUUUGAUGCUUAUAUGGUGGCCCAGAACCCUGGAGAAUGGAUGCUCAGCUGUCAGAAUCUAAACCAUCUGAAAGCCGGUUUGCAAGCCUUUUUCCAGGUCCAGGAGUGUAACAAGUCUUCAUCAAAGGAUAAUAUCCGUGGGAAGCAUGUUAGACACUACUACAUUGCCGCUGAGGAAAUCAUCUGGAACUAUGCUCCCUCUGGUAUAGACAUCUUCACUAAAGAAAACUUAACAGCACCUGGAAGUGACUCAGCGGUGUUUUUUGAACAAGGUACCACAAGAAUUGGAGGCUCUUAUAAAAAGCUGGUUUAUCGUGAGUACACAGAUGCCUCCUUCACAAAUCGAAAGGAGAGAGGCCCUGAAGAAGAGCAUCUUGGCAUCCUGGGUCCUGUCAUUUGGGCAGAGGUGGGAGACACCAUCAGAGUAACCUUCCAUAACAAAGGAGCAUAUCCCCUCAGUAUUGAGCCGAUUGGGGUGAGAUUCAAUAAGAACAACGAGGGCACAUACUAUUCCCCAAAUUACAACCCCCAGAGCAGAAGUGUGCCUCCUUCAGCCUCCCAUGUGGCACCCACAGAAACAUUCACCUAUGAAUGGACUGUCCCCAAAGAAGUAGGACCCACUAAUGCAGAUCCUGUGUGUCUAGCUAAGAUGUAUUAUUCUGCUGUGGAUCCCACUAAAGAUAUAUUCACUGGGCUUAUUGGGCCAAUGAAAAUAUGCAAGAAAGGAAGUUUACAUGCAAAUGGGAGACAGAAAGAUGUAGACAAGGAAUUCUAUUUGUUUCCUACAGUAUUUGAUGAGAAUGAGAGUUUACUCCUGGAAGAUAAUAUUAGAAUGUUUACAACUGCACCUGAUCAGGUGGAUAAGGAAGAUGAAGACUUCCAGGAAUCUAAUAAAAUGCACUCCAUGAAUGGAUUCAUGUAUGGGAAUCAGCCGGGUCUCACUAUGUGCAAAGGAGAUUCGGUCGUGUGGUACUUAUUCAGCGCCGGAAAUGAGGCCGAUGUACAUGGAAUAUACUUUUCAGGAAACACAUAUCUGUGGAGAGGAGAACGGAGAGACACAGCAAACCUCUUCCCUCAAACAAGUCUUACGCUCCACAUGUGGCCUGACACAGAGGGGACUUUUAAUGUUGAAUGCCUUACAACUGAUCAUUACACAGGCGGCAUGAAGCAGAAAUAUACUGUGAACCAAUGCAGGCGGCAGUCUGAGGAUUCCACCUUCUACCUGGGAGAGAGGACAUACCAUAUCGCAGCAGUGGAGGUGGAAUGGGAUUAUUCCCCACAAAGGGAGUGGGAAAAGGAGCUGCAUCAUUUACAAGAGCAGAAUGUUUCAAAUGCAUUUUUAGAUAAGGGAGAGUUUUACAUAGGCUCAAAGUACAAGAAAGUUGUGUAUCGGCAGUAUACUGAUAGCACAUUCCGUGUUCCAGCGGAGAGAAAAGCUGAAGAAGAACAUCUGGGAAUUCUAGGUCCACAACUUCAUGCAGAUGUUGGAGACAAAGUCAAAAUUAUCUUUAAAAACAUGGCCACAAGGCCCUACUCAAUACAUGCCCAUGGGGUACAAACAGAGAGUUCUACAGUUACUCCAACAUUACCAGGUGAAACUCUCACUUACGUAUGGAAAAUCCCAGAAAGAUCUGGAGCUGGAACAGAGGAUUCUGCUUGUAUUCCAUGGGCUUAUUAUUCAACUGUGGAUCAAGUUAAGGACCUCUACAGUGGAUUAAUUGGCCCCCUGAUUGUUUGUCGAAGACCUUACUUGGAAGUAUUCAAUCCCAGAAAGAAACUGGAAUUUGCCCUUCUGUUUCUAGUUUUUGAUGAGAAUGAAUCUUGGUACUUAGAUGACAACAUCAAAACAUACUCUGAUCACCCCGAGAAAGUAAACAAAGAUGAUGAGGAAUUCAUAGAAAGCAAUAAAAUGCAUGCUAUUAAUGGAAGAAUGUUUGGAAACCUACAAGGCCUCACAAUGCAUGUGGGAGAUGAAGUCAACUGGUAUCUGAUGGGAAUGGGCAAUGAAAUAGACUUACACACUGUACAUUUUCACGGCCAUAGCUUCCAAUACAAGGUAAGAGCUAUCCAUGGCAAUUACUCUUGCUCUGUUUGAAAAUGUUUUAAUACAA